RNAcentral lists this ribosomal RNA (253 nucleotides) under uncultured bacterium. RNAcentral's name for it is "partial 16S ribosomal RNA". It matches the Rfam family "Bacterial small subunit ribosomal RNA", at positions 524 to 776 of the family's 1533-position model. The record is from RNAcentral.
UACGGAGGGUGCAAGCGUUGCUCGGAAUUAUUGGGCGUAAAGGGUAGGUAGGUGGUCUCAUUUGUCUGGGGUGAAAGCCUUGAGCUUAACUCGAGAAGUGCCCCAGAAACGGUGAGACUGGAGUCCUGGAGAGGGUCGUGGAAUUCCCGGUGUAGCGGUGAAAUGCGUAGAGAUCGGGAGGAACACCAGAGGCGAAGGCGGCGACCUGGACAGGCACUGACACUCAAAUACGAAAGCGUGGGGAGCAAACAGG